Long non-coding RNA from Magallana angulata, 992 nucleotides. RefSeq lists it as uncharacterized. The transcript has 3 exons. Lineage: Eukaryota; Metazoa; Mollusca; Bivalvia; Ostreida; Ostreidae. The record is from RefSeq and is a predicted model, not a curated record.
UUUCCGUGUUAGUUUUCUACCUGAUAAAAAUUUGUUAUAACAUGUAUUUUAAAAGUUUUUGGUCUUGCCCAGACCUUUCAUUCGGUAUACCGAAAAAGGGGCUGGCCCUUAUAAUUAGGGAGUUAGAGGCGUCCAAAGUUUCUUGUCAAUAACUUAAAAAGGAAUAAAUAUUUCUAAUGCAUUAUUGAAGCAAAGUUGUAAAGAAAUUAAUUUUGAAUCCUUCUAUAGUAUUCAAUUUAAUGUUUUCGUAAUUUAUAGUCAGUAUUUGCAGAAACAAUUGUUGUCAGUUCGGUCCAUUUUUGUGGGGGUGCGCACGUUUAUGAGGUUAUGAAAGGGCUUCUUGUAAUGCACUAACUGAUACAUGUAGCGCGCAAAAAUAAUUCCACAUAAAAUUCCCAAAUGUUUUUAUACAUAUGUACAUUUUCAUUUCAUAUAGAUAAACCUCUUUGACCUUAUUUUUGUUGUUUGUUUCAUAACUGUGCCCCUGUCUAUAUUUAGAUGCAUUACGAGACUCAGGUAACCGAUCGAUAGGAGAGUCGCUAGCUGUAUUCAGGCCGUCGCCUAGACGACAGUGCAUGUGCUUGUAAAGCUGGACGUACACGAUUAACGCCCCACUGUGUUACUGUAACAGAGACAUUUUGAAUUGUUUCAGUACUGGGAGAUGUGUUAAUAAAAUGGUUCCAAUGCAUGAAAUUGAUGCCUCUGCCACAAAUGCCACCACUGCUGAAGAUUGGUGUAAUAUUGAUGAAGACUCUGUAGGCAUAUCUAAGAAAAAAGAGCUUAAUUAGUAAAUGACCGUACUAUGCUCACAUAGGAGAACCAAACACAAAAAGACCACCCUCCAAAAAAGACGACAACAAGAACCAUCGUGGAUAGUUGAAAUAUACAGCAGAAUUAAAGACCAUGCACGCAGAGCGGAUGGAGUUAGAUAGAGAGAAACUUAAACUAGAGGAAAGGAGGGUUGAUGUGUAGGAAAACUAUUAAAAGACAAU